Molecule: ribosomal RNA, 543 nt
Filed under: Pseudarthrobacter phenanthrenivorans Sphe3
Lineage: Bacteria; Bacillati; Actinomycetota; Actinomycetes; Micrococcales; Micrococcaceae
Description: bacterial SSU rRNA
Rfam family: Bacterial small subunit ribosomal RNA
Source: RNAcentral
ACGCAUGCAUGGGCGCAGCCUGAUGCAGCGACGCCGCGUGAGGGAUGACGGCCUUCGGGUUGUAAACCUCUUUCAGUAGGGAAGAAGCGAAAGUGACGGUACCUGCAGAAGAAGCGCCGGCUAACUACGUGCCAGCAGCCGCGGUAAUACGUAGGGCGCAAGCGUUAUCCGGAAUUAUUGGGCGUAAAGAGCUCGUAGGCGGUUUGUCGCGUCUGCCGUGAAAGUCCGGGGCUCAACUCCGGAUCUGCGGUGGGUACGGGCAGACUAGAGUGAUGUAGGGGAGACUGGAAUUCCUGGUGUAGCGGUGAAAUGCGCAGAUAUCAGGAGGAACACCGAUGGCGAAGGCAGGUCUCUGGGCAUUAACUGACGCUGAGGAGCGAAAGCAUGGGGAGCGAACAGGAUUAGAUACCCUGGUAGUCCAUGCCGUAAACGUUGGGCACUAGGUGUGGGGGACAUUCCACGUUUUCCGCGCCGUAGCUAACGCAUUAAGUGCCCCGCCUGGGGAGUACGGCCGCAAGGCUAAAACUCAAAUGAAUUGACGGA